Molecule: ribosomal RNA, 174 nt
Filed under: uncultured bacterium
Lineage: Bacteria
Description: partial 16S ribosomal RNA
Rfam family: Bacterial small subunit ribosomal RNA
Source: RNAcentral
ACUCCUACGGGAGGCAGCAGUGGGGAAUAUUGCACAAUGGGCGAAAGCCUGAUGCAGCGACGCCGCGUGAGCGAAGAAGUAUUUCGGUAUGUAAAGCUCUAUCAGCAGGGAAGAUAAUGACGGUACCUGACUAAGAAGCACCGGCUAAAUACGUGCCAGCAGCCGCGGUAAUAC